ACAGCGCCCCCCGGAGGCUCGGUUCACCCACUGCACAACCCCGUUUCUCCCCUCGCCACCCCCUUUUCUGCCAGCUCCAGCCUCCACCCUGUUUGUCCACUCCAUGCCCAACCUCGCUGUGCCCUUCAGCCUGGAACAGCCUCGCUGCCUCCCUGACGAGCUCCUAUUCAUCCUUCACAACCCGGCUCAGAUGCCCCCACCUCAGGGAGCCUUUCCCAGAGGCCCAGCUCUGUGAGCCCCACGGUGACCCACACAAAGGGGAACAGCAUGGACGCCAGGAACGCCCCCAAGUCAUGGACUGAGAGGGGGGCCCAGGACUUUUGGCGACUCACACGCGGGGCUCUGCGCGUCUCCCGAGGCACCCUGUGAUCGGGGGCUUCACUUGCUGUGAAGGUGGGCCUCCCGCCCUUUCCCACCCCUGCUGCACACCUUGCUGCUGAGUGAACGCGUCCUCAUGCGCGGGAGCCAGUGCUGCCCCUUGGGCCGUCAGCCCCGCCCCUCAAAGCCUCCUGCAAGGGCCCCCGGUCAGAGCUGCGCUGGCGGAGUCUGGGCUGCCCUGUGUGACCGCUGCCCACCCAGCAGUGCGGGGCGAGACCGGGCCUCCCUCAGCAUCCCCUCAGCACUUGGACAAGCUGCAGAACCCACAGGGAAUGGAAUGUCUUCCUCCCAGGGGCCAAUAUAAACAGCAGGGUGCCCGGCUUUCCUAAUUUAGUUGUUGGUGGCUCUGGCCAGCCAGAGAGGUCGUUUGAAAAUACAGUGAGACUAGAGGCCAUCACAGCGCAGGAGACACACCCGGGCCCACCUU
RNAcentral lists this long non-coding RNA (805 nucleotides) under Pan troglodytes (chimpanzee). Its description in RNAcentral is "long non-coding RNA NONPTRT004382". The record is from RNAcentral. Lineage: Eukaryota; Metazoa; Chordata; Mammalia; Primates; Hominidae.